Molecule: ribosomal RNA, 315 nt
Filed under: uncultured eukaryote
Lineage: Eukaryota
Description: partial 18S ribosomal RNA
Rfam family: Eukaryotic small subunit ribosomal RNA
Source: RNAcentral
CCCUUAGAUGUUCUGGGCUGCACGCGCGCUACACUGACGCACGCAACAGGUGCCUGCUCCGAGAGGACUGGGUAAUCAUUUGAGUGUGCGUCGUGAUGGGGAUAGAAUAUUGUCAUUAUUACUCUUCAACGAGGAAUUCCUAGUAAGCGCCAGUCAGCAGCUUGCGCUGAUUACGUCCCUGCCCUUUGUACACACCGCCCGUCGCUCCUACCGAUGGGUGAUCCGGUGAAUGAUUCGGACUUCAGCGGCUCCCCUGGGGUGCGCCGGAGAAAGUUUUGUGAACCUUAUCACUUGGAGGAAGGAGAAGUCGUAACA